AGUUGGUGGGGUAACGGCCUACCAAGGCGGUGAUCUGUAGCUGGUUUGAGAGGACGACCAGCCACACUGGGACUGAGACACGGCCCAGACUCCUACGGGAGGCAGCAGUGGGGAAUUUUCGACAAUGGGGGGAACCCUGAUCGAGCCAUCUCGCGUGUGGGACGAAGGCCUUCGGGUUGUAAACCACUUUUCUCAACGAAGAAAAGUCUUAGGCUAAUACCUUAAGAUGCUGACGGUAGUUGAGGAAUAAGCACCGGCUAACUACGUGCCAGCAGCCGCGGUAAUACGUAGGGUGCGAGCGUUAAUCGGAAUUACUGGGCGUAAAGGGUGCGCAGGCGGCUUGGAAAGAACGGUGUGAAAUCCCGGGGCUCAACCUCAAUAUGCCUUGCGAACUGUAAUGCUUGAGUGCAGGAGGGGAAAGCGGAAUUCCUAGUGUAGCGGUGAAAUGCGUAGAGAUUAGGAAGAACACCGGUGGCGAAGGCGGCUUUCUGGACUGCAACUGACACUGAGGCACGAAAGCGUGGGUAGCAAACAGGAUUAGAUACCCUGGUAGUCCACGCCGUAAACGAUGAGCACUAGUUGUUGGUUCCGGAU
RNAcentral lists this ribosomal RNA (594 nucleotides) under uncultured bacterium. RNAcentral's name for it is "bacterial SSU rRNA". It matches the Rfam family "Bacterial small subunit ribosomal RNA", at positions 247 to 834 of the family's 1533-position model. The record is from RNAcentral.